CUCAAUAUUAAACUCUCAAAAAUUAAUAGAAUGGACAGGAAAGUAGGUUAUAGUAGACCUGAAAAAAAUUGUGAACCAAUUCAACAUAAUUAAGACUUAUACAAUUUUCACACAACAGCAGCAUACAAAUUUUAUUCAAGUUCCCAUAGACUAUUAACCAGGAGACACUGGAAUAUGACGUAAAACAAAGUGCAAAAGUUUCAUGGCCUAAAUAAAAAGUAUUGAAAUCAUACAGGGCCUGCUGUCUUAUUACUGUGAAACUGUGUGAGAAAUCAAUACCAUAAGGUAUUUGAAAAUAACCCACAUAAUUUCAAGUACAAUAAAUAAAUAAAUGUUUUUGUCAGCAGGUUCUUGCCUGUCCUGCUCCUGGCAAUUCAGGGAUUGGGAACCUGGGUCUCCAAAGAGUUCCUGAAGGGCCGUAAUUGGAUGCAGAAACUUUCCUCCCAUUAGAAUAAUUUAAGCAUCUUAAGAAAACAAGAGAUUUUUCUGGAUUUCUCUCUGUACUAUAAACUAAAAUAAGAAAUACAAAACUAUCCCUGGGGAAAACGUGCCAUUUUACAGUGACAUCCUGUAUCACAACUUUUCCUCUUUGUUCCUCAUUCAGCUGGAAGGCCAAACUCCACAUGGCUCAGUUCCAGAGACACAAGGUCAAAACCUACAGUCUGAGACUGGAGGACUAAGGACAUUCUGGUGGUCACAGGAAUUCCAGGUUAAGAAUCUGCCUUGCAACAAAGAGAACUCGUGUUCAGUCCUUCAUAAAAGCAGGGCACACCUCUGCUUUUGCUUCUGGAGCCUCAGAAAUAGCAUGAGGACUUAAGAUCCCACAGGAGACGGAGCAACUAAACCCAGGCACUGCAAAGACAGAGGCUGCAUACUCCAGGGCCCCCAUGCCACGAUGAAAUGUCCUGUGUGAUGCAAUGAAGAUCCCAUGAUCCACAACUAAGACCCACUGCAGUCAAAUAAAUAAAUAUUCUUUAAAGUAUACUGAUUCUGCUUCCUUUGGAUACAUAAUCAGAAGUUGUGAGACUGUGAGGUCCUAUGCAUGUUCUAUUUGUAACAUUUGAGGAACCUCCAUACUGCUUCCCAUGUACUAUUGACAUUCCCACCAACCAUUCACAAGAGUCCCU
This 1127-nucleotide long non-coding RNA is filed under the name Capra hircus (goat). RNAcentral describes it as "lncRNA (ENSCHIG00000004505.1)". Lineage: Eukaryota; Metazoa; Chordata; Mammalia; Artiodactyla; Bovidae. The record is from RNAcentral.